RNAcentral lists this ribosomal RNA (491 nucleotides) under uncultured bacterium. RNAcentral's name for it is "partial 16S ribosomal RNA". It matches the Rfam family "Bacterial small subunit ribosomal RNA", at positions 29 to 507 of the family's 1533-position model. The record is from RNAcentral.
AGUGAACGCUGGCGGUAGGCCUAACACAUGCAAGUCGAACGGCAGCACAGUAAGAGCUUGCUCUUACGGGUGGCGAGUGGCGGACGGGUGAGGAAUACAUCGGAAUCUACUUUUUCGUGGGGGAUAACGUAGGGAAACUUACGCUAAUACCGCAUACGACCUACGGGUGAAAGCAGGGGAUCUUCGGACCUUGCGCGAUUGAAUGAGCCGAUGUCGGAUUAGCUAGUUGGCGGGGUAAAGGCCCACCAAGGCGACGAUCCGUAGCUGGUCUGAGAGGAUGAUCGGCCAAACGGAAACUGGGACACGGUCCGGGCACCUAGGGAAGGCAGCGGGGGGGAAAUUUGGCAAAGGGGCGCAAGCCUGAUCCAGCCAUACGCGUGGGUGAAGAAGGCCUUCGGGUUGUAAAGCCCUUUUGUUGGGAAAGAAAAGCAGCAGGUUAAUACCCCGCUGUUCUGACGGUACCCAAAGAAUAAGCACCGGCUAACUUCGUG